This 433-nucleotide ribosomal RNA is filed under the name uncultured bacterium. Its description in RNAcentral is "partial 16S ribosomal RNA". It matches the Rfam family "Bacterial small subunit ribosomal RNA", at positions 29 to 507 of the family's 1533-position model. The record is from RNAcentral.
AGCGAACGCUGGCGGCAGGCUUAACACAUGCAAGUCGAACGCAUCCUUCGGGGUGAGUGGCAGACGGGUGAGUAACACGUGGGAACGUACCCUUCGAUCUGGGAUAACUUCGGGAAACUGGAGCUAAUACCGGAUACGCCCUUUUGGGGAAAGGUUUACUGUCGAAGGAUCGGCCCGCGUCUGAUUAGCUAGUUGGUGGGGUAACGGCCUACCAAGGCGACGAUCAGUAGCUGGUCUGAGAGGAUGAUCAGCCACACUGGGACUGAGACACGGCCCAGACUCCUACGGGAGGCAGCAGUGGGGAAUAUUGGACAAUGGGCGCAAGCCUGAUCCAGCCAUGCCGCGUGAGUGAUGAAGGCCUUAGGGUUGUAAAGCUCUUUUGUCCGGGACGAUAAUGACGGUACCGGAAGAAUAAGCCCCGGCUAACUUCAUG